UAUUAUUUAUUUUUUUUAAAAAAGUAAAUUUGUAUUUUAAAAAUGAUUUUAAUUUUUAAUUAUUU
This 65-nucleotide transfer RNA is filed under the name Metaperipatus inae. RNAcentral's name for it is "tRNA-Tyr". The record is from RNAcentral. Lineage: Eukaryota; Metazoa; Onychophora; Udeonychophora; Euonychophora; Peripatopsidae.